RNAcentral lists this long non-coding RNA (2456 nucleotides) under Marmota monax (woodchuck). Lineage: Eukaryota; Metazoa; Chordata; Mammalia; Rodentia; Sciuridae. The record is from RNAcentral.
GGUCCAUUCACUGGUUGGGUUAAGGCUCUCACCACCCAGUCAUGUCUCCUCUGGACCUUCUUGCAUGUCUCACACCUGAGCUUUUGGGGGACACCUCACAUCAGAACUAUAACACAAGCAAAUGCUAAAUCAUUUGAAACAUAUGUGGAAUUAGUGAAUGAGUAACUAAUUGUGUCAAUGUAAAUUUACUCUGUAUAUCAAAAUGUGAUUAGUGUUUCCCGAACUUCAAUUACUUACAUAGUACCGUCAUGAAUUUUGUCACAUACUAUGCAUAACUUAUAAUAUUUUUAGCUCAUUUUCUGUCAAAUGUAUUUUCAAAGCAAACCUUAUAUUAUUUUCAUAAAUAGGAAACUGUCCUAGUUGGGAAAUAUCUCUUUAGAGAAUCACAAAGAACUUUUACUGGAAAAGAUUGACAGAUGAGUAUAUUAAUAUUAAGAACUUUUAUUUAUAAGAAUGCAAUGAAAAUAUUGCAAAGCUAAGCUACCAACUGCAACAAGACAACAUACAACAUAUAAUUAUUUACAAUCAAAAUGUGUUCAAAGGCCUAAAAAUCAGUAAGAAUAGCACAAAAGGCCAGUAGGAAAUGGACAAAACCCCCAAACAUUGUUCUUCUCUGAGCAUCAUUUCAAAGAAGAGAAAAACACACACACACUAUAUAUAUAUGUUUCUAGAAAUAUCCAAUAUCAUUAGUGAUCUGGGAAACACACCCCAAGAUCAAAUGAGGUACUAUUUUGGACAGUUAAAUCAUAAAGGCUGACAAUCCAGGGAGUGAGAGAAGGAUCUCACAUGUGCCGCUGGUAGGCGUUUGCAUUGGAGUCACCCUGCUGGAUUCUGGUUUGGCAUUAUCUUUGAGAGUGAGAGAUUGACAUACUCUGUGACCUGGAAGGUCACACGUGUCAUACACAUCAGAGACAUCCACUGGAGGACUGGGAGCCCCGCAGCUCAUGAUAACAAAAACCUGGAGACAAUCUAAGGGGUUUUCAAGGGGCAAGCAGAUACCUACAAUGUAGGGUGUUCAUGAAUAAACCUAAUGCAUCAGGCAAACCAAGUGAUCUUCGGAGACAUACAACUACACAGAUGACCCCAGUGAUGCGAUAGGAAGUGAAAAUCAUCUCCAAACAUUAUAGAAGCACAGUACCAUUUUUAUAAAGAUAAAAGCAACUGUGAUGAGAAAAAAUAUUCAGAAAAAAAAACAAAAAAAGGCAAUUAACUGGUGCAACCACUCUGAAAAGCAGUAUGGUAUUCCUCUGAAAACUUGGAAUGGAACCACCAUUGGAUCCAGUUAUUCUACUCCUCAGUUUAUACCCAAAGGAAUAAAUCAGCCUACUACAGGGACACAGCCACAUCAAUGUUUAUAGCAGAACAAUUCAUAAUAGCUAAACUGUGGAACCAACCUAGAUGCCUUUCAAUAGAUGAAUGAAUAAAGAAAAUGUGGUACAUAUUCAUAAUAGAAUAUUACUCAGUCUUAAAGAAGAACGAAAUUAUGGCAUUUGCCAGUAAACGAAUGGAACUGGAGGCUAUCAUGCUAAGUGAAAUAAGCCAGUUCCCCCAAACCAAAGGCAGAAUGUUAUCUUUGAAAUGCAGAUGCUAAAACAAUAAGAGUAGAGACUGGAUUAGACAAAGGGGAAUGAAGGGAAGGGAGGGGAGAUGGGAAUAAGAAAGACAGUGGAAUGAAUUAGACAUAACUCUCCCAUGUUUCACAUGAUCAGUGUAACUCUAUAUUAUUUGCAACCAGAGGAAUGAGAGAUUAUGAUCCAUGUAUGUAUAAUAUGUCAAAACCACUCUACUGUCAGAUAUAACUAGUAAGAAUAAAAAUAUGUGUGUGUGUGUGUAAACGUAUGAUGAAAGAAGCAAUUAAACUAUUUACACAGUAAGAGAAUGGUGAUCAUGUUAAGCAGAUUCAGAUAGAAGGAUGCCAAAUUUUUCUUUUAAAAAUGGACGUACUGUAUGAGUAGAUAUAGGUACUGUGAUUUUUUUUCCUUUUCAGAGGUAGGCAUUGAACCCAGGGCAUCACACUGCUAAACAUAUGCCCUACCACUGAGUUAUAUUCCAGGGCUUUCUGUGAAGAUAUUGGCUUUUGUUUUGCCUGGUGAAUGUGGCGAUCCUGAUUAAGGUACAAACUAACCAGCAAAAUAAAUAGAAAUAGGUUACACAAGGACCAGUGACAACUGUAUUGUGAAACAGAGAUCAUGAUUAAUCUGAUUCUGUGCAUCUGUGUUUCUUAAGAAAAAAAUAAACAUCUCACGUUAUAAAGAGAAAAUAUGCAUUGAAAGUCUAGAAAAAGAGGGCUGGGGUAGAGCGCUUGCCUAACAUGUGUGAGGCACUGGAUUCCAUCCUCAGCACCACAUAUAAAUAAAUAAGAAAAAGUUAUUGUGUCUGUCUACAAAUAAAAAAGAAUUUUUUUAAAAAAGUCUAGAAACAGGUUAAGAAUUUUAAAAGGAACCAGGUGCAGUGGC